Molecule: ribosomal RNA, 775 nt
Filed under: uncultured Neocallimastigales
Lineage: Eukaryota; Fungi; Neocallimastigomycota; Neocallimastigomycetes; Neocallimastigales
Description: partial large subunit ribosomal RNA
Rfam family: Eukaryotic large subunit ribosomal RNA
Source: RNAcentral
GUAGUCUCGCACAGAUGCAUAUCAAUAAGCGGAGGAAAAGAAACUAACAAGGAUUCCCCUAGUAACGGCGAGUGAAGCGGGAAGAGCUCAAAUUUGAAAUCUUAAAGGGUUUCCCUUUACGAAUUGUAGUUUAAAGAAGUGUUUUCUGUUGAGGUUUUGGUAAAAGUUCUUUGGAAUAGGACAUCAUAGAGGGUGAGAAUCCCGUAUUUGACCUUUACUUUCAACUUUGUGAUACACUUUCAAAGAGUCGGAUUGUUUGGGAAUGCAGUCCAAAAUGGGUGGUAAGUUUCAUCUAAAGCUAAAUAUUGGCGAGAGACCGAUAGCGAACAAGUACCGUGAGGGAAAGAUGAAAAGAACUUUGAAAAGAGAGUUAAACAGUACGUGAAAUUGUCAAAAGGGAAGCGCUUGACACCAGUGUUGUUUUUCUGUAAAUCAAUUAAAGAACUGUUUAUGCUAAGUUGUUUAGACUUUAUCAGCUAACUGUUUAGUUUUGAGCUUUUCUUUAAUGCACUUUUCAGUUAACAAGUCAACAUCAAUUUCUUUUGCUGUAAAAAAGCUUGAGGAAGGUGGCUUGAGAUUCGUCUUAAGUGUUUAUAGCCUCUUGCCUAUGCAGUCGGAGAGAUUGAGGUCUGCAGCGUAGAUCCUUCGGGGCUAAAUGCAUUUUGUGCUAAGUUAUAGCAUUUUAUAGACAACUUGUCGACUAUGAUUUGUCUUGUAGCUUACUCGCUUAUGUUAUUUUACCUACGCUUAGGAUGUUGACGCAUGAGAUAUACGC